Molecule: unclassified non-coding RNA, 337 nt
Filed under: soil metagenome
Description: partial contains 5.8S ribosomal RNA, internal transcribed spacer 2, and large subunit ribosomal RNA
Rfam family: 5.8S ribosomal RNA (bases 1-119)
Source: RNAcentral
AUGAAGAACGUAGCAAAAUGCGAUAACUAAUGUGAAUUGCAGAAUUCAGUGAAUCAUCGAGUCUUUGAACGCACAUUGCGCCCCCUGGUAUUCCGGGGGGCAUGCCUGUCCGAGCGUCAUUGCUGCCCUCAAGCACGGCUUGUGUGUUGGGCUCCGUCCCCCCGGGGACGGGCCCGAAAGGCAGCGGCGGCACCGAGUCCGGUCCUCGAGCGUAUGGGGCUUUGUCACCCGCUCUGUAGGCCCGGCCGGCGCCAGCCGACAACCCAUCAUCCUUUUCAGGUUGACCUCGGAUCAGGUAGGGAUACCCGCUGAACUUAAGCAUAUCAAUAGCGGAGGA